CCUACGGGAGGCAGCAGUAGGGAAUUUUCGUCAAUGGGCGCAAGCCUGAACGAGCAAUGCCGCGUGAACGAGGAAGGUCUUCGGAUCGUAAAGUUCUGUUGAAGGGGAAAAAGAGCGGAGAGAGGAAAUGCUUUCUGAUUGAUAUUACCCUUCGAGGAAGUCACGGCUAACUACGUGCCAGCAGCCGCGGUAAUACGUAGGUGGCGAGCGUUAUCCGGAAUGAUGGGGCGUAAAGGGUGCGUAGGCGGCCUGCUAAGUCUGGAGUGAAAGGUACCGGCUCAACCGGUACAGGCUCUGGAAACUGGCGAGCUAGAGAGCAGGAGAGGGCGGUGGAACUCCAUGUGUAGCGGUAAAAUGCGUAGAUAUAUGGAAGAACAUCAGUGGCGAAGGCGGCCGCCUGGCCUGUUAACUGACGCUGAGGCACGAAAGCGUGGGGAGCAAAUAGGAUUAGAUACCCCUGUAGUC
RNAcentral lists this ribosomal RNA (465 nucleotides) under uncultured bacterium. Its description in RNAcentral is "partial 16S ribosomal RNA". It matches the Rfam family "Bacterial small subunit ribosomal RNA", at positions 338 to 795 of the family's 1533-position model. The record is from RNAcentral.